This 200-nucleotide unclassified non-coding RNA is filed under the name Hohenbuehelia sp. RNAcentral describes it as "partial internal transcribed spacer 2". Lineage: Eukaryota; Fungi; Basidiomycota; Agaricomycetes; Agaricales; Pleurotaceae. The record is from RNAcentral.
UUAAGUUCAGCGGGUAGUCCUACCUGAUUUGAGGUCAAAUGGUCAAAGUAUUGUCCUUGCGGACGAUUAGAAGCUGGAGAAGUAAACACGCUAACGUCCCAGAGGCGUAGAUAAUUAUCACACCAGUAGGCUGAAGGCGCAAACCCAGCUAAUGCAUUUAAGAGGAGCCGACCAACAAGGGCCCGCAGCCUCCACAUCCA